Eptesicus fuscus (big brown bat) is the source of this 1851-nucleotide long non-coding RNA. RefSeq lists it as uncharacterized. The record is from RefSeq and is a predicted model, not a curated record. The transcript has 3 exons. Lineage: Eukaryota; Metazoa; Chordata; Mammalia; Chiroptera; Vespertilionidae.
CUGGGAGGUUCCGCCCAGGCCUGGCUUCUCCGUGGGAUCCAUCACAAGCACCUGGAGAGGCGGGCUCAGAUCGCGCCGGGCCCCGGGGGAUGUUCCAUCACUUCGUGGAGGUUUUCCAUCGUUUCUCUUUACGGUCCUUCCACAGCCAUUCUUCGCCAGCCACGGGGGGCAGCACGAAGAGGGGGCCAGACCACCCGUCGGGGAGGUGCCUGCCCCUCUGUUCUCAGCACCGGGCACCGCCCAGCAGGCUGAGGGUGAGGCUGGUGCGGGGCCAGGACAGAGAAUGCUGGGAAGCCGGGCGCUGGGGCUAAGGCAAGGCAGCGAGUGAGCGCCCAGCCUCAGAGUGGAGGCGUCCCGAGAGGCCACUGCGACGGCAUGGCUGGGACGCCCCGAGGUGGACAUGUGGAAGAGGAAUCCAUCUGAAAGACACACCGCAAACAGCUCAGGAGACACGGGGCACGACUAUUCACCGCAGCCCUGUGGGCAGCAGCCGGAGCCGGGAACACAGCCCCGGGCCCGCCACCGGGCUCCGUGGGUACCCUGCAGCGUGAACAGAACGAGGAGAGCGCCUCAAGAAACUAAAAGCGGGGUUACCGACCGCCCAGCAAUCCCACUCGGGGUCCACACUGAGAAGACGUGCAGGCAGGGUCCUGGCGAGGUGGCGCAGGCCCACGUCCAUAGCAGCGUUACUCCCACGGCCGACGCAUGGGAGCCGCCCGAGCGUCCACUGCUGGGCGGACGGGCCCGGGAUGCGUCCCGUCCGUGCGAUGGGCCAGGACUCCGCCCUCGGGGAAGGAGGCCCACGGGGUGCUGCAACGUGGACAGGCCUGGAGGACGCAGUGCUCCGCGAAGUUCGCCGUCUCAGCAGGCAGGUACCACGUGGCUCCUGUCCCACGAGGUCCCCUUCGGAGACAGGAAGCAGAGCAGGGGGCUCCCCGGGCGCGGGACGGGGGCUGGAAAUGAGUGUUUCCCGGGGACGGAGCUUCAGUUUUACAAAACCGAACGCGGCCUGGAGAUGGACGGCCGGGCGGUGGUGAUGGCGGCACAACACUGCGUGCACGUCACGUCCCUGAACUGUACCUUCAACAUGGUUAGGACGCGAGUUUCCUGUUACAUGUAUUUUACCACAAUUUAAAAAAAAAAGGAAAGCGGAAGGUCUCCGCGUACCAGCUCCGUGUGGUGCUCAGCACACAGUGUCCAAGACACAAGGCGGAGUGAAGCGUGUGCAAUGUCCUGUUUACCUAAGAAAGAAAAACAAAACCUAAAUAGAUCUUUAUCAUUCAAAUGCCAACGCUGGUGGUUUGAACAAAAAGAAGGAAUGGGGUAGAGAAAAAGAGUAGGUGCCAGCCCGGCUGGUGUGGUUCAGUGAUUGAGUGUUGACCUAGGAACCAGGAGGUCAGGGUUCGAUUCCCGGUCAGGGCACAGGCCCGGGUUGCGGGCUCGAUCCCCAGUGGGGGGCGUGCAGGAGGCAGCCGAUCCAUGAUUCUCUCUCAUCACGGAUGUUUCUCUCUCCCUCCCUUUCCCUGCCUCUCUGAGAUCAAUUUAAAACAUCCCUCGCUCUGUGUUCUGCACAAGGCCCAGUGUUCCCGAACAACGCAGAAGCCGUGAGCGCCUUUAGGGCCCAGAUGGGGGCCUCGAAUACCAUUUCCCAGAAAAAGAACCAGGGCCCUGGCCGGCUCGGCUCAGUGGGUAGGAAAUGCUACCAACCGGGCAUUUCACCAGAGAUACGCCUUCCACAGCAUGAUCCAGCCUCUGGGCUUAACCUCCAACGGGCAGGCGAUGUGGGGGACGGAGGCGCGUGUUACAUAACUGCACACAGAUCGAUUCAGCAAGAUCCACGCUGCGGAGGGC